CAAGGAUACAUCUUCAAGAAAAGUGUAAUGGCUAGCUUCAGAAACGCCAUUGUCAGAUGAAGUCAACCUCUCCAGUGGUGGAAAUGCAGCCAAGCUUUAAGAUUCAAUGAUGACUGCUCCAACAUAAGACACUCUAUCGUCAGAUGAAGUCUACCUCUUCAGAAGUAGAUGCAUGAUUGGAAUGCAGCCCAGCUUCAAGAUUCAAUGAUGAUGUCUUUUCCAUCAACAGGCUAGAUGCAGACCCACCAUUGUCCGAUGAAGUGAACCUCUUCAGAAGUAGAUGCAUGAUGGGAAUACAGCCAAGUUUCAAGAUUCAAUUAUGUCUUCUAAUAGCAGCUGCAGACACACCAUUGUCAGAUGAAGUCAACUUCUCAAGAAGUAGGAGCACGAUGGGAACGCAGCCCAGCUUAGGAUUCAAUCAUGUCUUUCGCAACAGAAGUGAGGGUUGUCGUUUCCAGAGAGGUCUCUGCAUCAACCAAGUAGAUGUCUGAGACCUGCAGUUGAUGAGCUUCCUGACAAUGUACAACAAGUCUGGGAAAUGAACUGCUCUCUCCUUGAUACAAGGUGUGCCAUCUGCAGAUGAUAUCUACCUGUCGAUUCCCAAGACCUGCAACAGUGCCCACUAAGUUUCAAACAACGGGACAGAGGUAUACAAAUCCCCGUCGGUGUUUUACACUAACAUCAAAAGUGGUCUGUUUUUGCAGCACUUAUACAAACAGAAUACCUCACAUGCCACAACAUUGAUGGGGAUUUUAUGCUGACACCAGUCUAACCCAUUUUGCGUGGUUCGUCCCUACAGAUUGAUUACAGAUUUAAAAGAUAGGAAACAUG
This is a long non-coding RNA of Asterias rubens (European starfish), 831 nucleotides long. RefSeq lists it as uncharacterized. NCBI's taxonomy places the organism in Eukaryota, Metazoa, Echinodermata, Asteroidea, Forcipulatida, Asteriidae. The record is from RefSeq and is a predicted model, not a curated record. The transcript has 7 exons.